This 561-nucleotide ribosomal RNA is filed under the name uncultured bacterium. RNAcentral describes it as "bacterial SSU rRNA". It matches the Rfam family "Bacterial small subunit ribosomal RNA", at positions 338 to 916 of the family's 1533-position model. The record is from RNAcentral.
CCUACGGGAGGCAGCAGUGGGGAAUAUUGGACAAUGGGCGAAAGCCUGAUCCAGCAAUGCCGCGCGAGUGAUGAAGGCCUUAGGGUUGUAAAGCUCUUUUACCAGGGAUGAUAAUGACAGUACCUGGAGAAUAAGCUCCGGCUAACUCCGUGCCAGCAGCCGCGGUAAUACGGAGGGAGCUAGCGUUGUUCGGAAUUACUGGGCGUAAAGCGUACGUAGGCGGUUAUUCAAGUCAGAGGUGAAAGCCUGGAGCUCAACUCCAGAACUGCCUUUGAAACUAGAUAGCUAGAAUCUUGGAGAGGUGAGUGGAAUUCCGAGUGUAGAGGUGAAAUUCGUAGAUAUUCGGAAGAACACCAGUGGCGAAGGCGACUCACUGGACAAGUAUUGACGCUGAGGUACGAAAGCGUGGGGAGCAAACAGGAUUAGAUACCCUGGUAGUCCACGCCGUAAACGAUGAUAACUAGCUGUUCGGGCUCUACGAGCUUGAGUGGCGCAGCUAACGCAUUAAGUUAUCCGCCUGGGGAGUACGGUCGCAAGNUUAAAACUCAAAGGAAUUGACGG